GACGAACGCUGGCGGCGUGCCUAAUACAUGCAAGUUGAGCGCUGAAGGUUGGUACUUGUACCCACUGGAUGAGCAGCGAACGGGUGAGUAACGCGUGGGGAAUCUGCCUUUGAGCGGGGGACAACAUUUGGAAACGAAUGCUAAUACCGCAUAAAAACUUUAAACACAAGUUUUAAGUUUGAAAGAUGCAAUUGCAUCACUCAAAGAUGAUCCCGCGUUGUAUUAGCUAGUUGGUGAGGUAAAGGCUCACCAAGGCGAUGAUACAUAGCCGACCUGAGAGGGUGAUCGGCCACAGUGGGACUGAGACACGGCCCAAACUCCUACGGGAGGCAGCAGGAGGGAAGCUUCGGCAAUGGACGAAAGUCUGACCGAGCAACGCCGCGUGAGUGAAGAAGGUUGUCGGAUCGUAAAACUCUGUUGGUAGAGAAGAACGUUGGUGAGAGUGGAAAGCUCAUCAAGUGACGGUAACUACCCAGAAAGGGACGGCUAACUACGUG
Molecule: ribosomal RNA, 497 nt
Filed under: uncultured bacterium
Lineage: Bacteria
Description: partial 16S ribosomal RNA
Rfam family: Bacterial small subunit ribosomal RNA
Source: RNAcentral